This 220-nucleotide long non-coding RNA is filed under the name Lathyrus oleraceus (garden pea). RNAcentral's name for it is "Pisum sativum (pea) long non-coding RNA (PSAT_LNC040809)". The record is from RNAcentral. Lineage: Eukaryota; Viridiplantae; Streptophyta; Magnoliopsida; Fabales; Fabaceae.
GACAUGGCAAGGAUCAUGGUGGAAAAAAUCUCAAGUGAAAUGGAUUAUUAAUGAAUGAGUUAUGAUUUUUUGAUUGUGGAAAAAAAAUAAAAAAAAGCAUGGAAGGAAGCAUGUAACAUGAUAUGCAUAAGUGGAAAAAUAAGCAAGGCAAUUGGAAUGGAUGCUGAAGCGGGGAAUCGAACCCCUGGGUAAUUCAAAAAUGAGCGCCACUUAAGUGAAA